This 1495-nucleotide long non-coding RNA is filed under the name Anas platyrhynchos platyrhynchos (common mallard). Its description in RNAcentral is "lncRNA (ENSAPLG00000020691.1)". Lineage: Eukaryota; Metazoa; Chordata; Aves; Anseriformes; Anatidae. The record is from RNAcentral.
AUGUACCAUAUCCACUGUUCAGUAAUCUUUUCCUUUUGGCCUGGAUUAGUCUACUCAACUGUUCCUUGUCCAGAAAGCAUGCCAGGGCUUUGCUCACCCCCAUUACCAUGCACUGAACCUUUUCCAGCCCUGCUGCGCUUUGCAAUGGGAGACCCAAGCCAUGCUCAACAUUUGAAGUGUGGGCAUGGAUUAUACAUCUCUCUUCCUUAUGGGGAUGGAUUUUAUUCCCAUUGGGGUAAAUCCCCUCAUUUCUCAGUGCAAUCCUGCUGUAGCCAGGGAGGGCAUCAGGGAUGGACUCGGUGCCCAAAAGCUGCUCAUUUUCUCAAGCUCCAUCCGAAGGUCUCAUGGGGUAUGUUCUCCCUCCUGAAAACCAUGCCACCAUCUCGCAGGAUGUUGUUUCUCUUCUCAGCUAAAGGGAGAACUAUCUUGAGUGCUGGCUUACCUUCAGUCCUGAUGUGCUUGCCAGUACCUGGGACAUCCAACCACUCCAGUAAUAAUUCCAACAGCAGUGGUACCAGAGUUGUUUCCAUGCCAUGCUGCCCGUUGGCACUCAGGCUUCCAGGCCUCAUGCCGGCCCUGUUUGCCAAGAAAACCCCCACACUGGCCAGGGUGUGAUCAGUGUCAGCGAUGCUGCAGGUGGCUGGGCCAGGAGGGCGGACCUGGGGCCAGGACUGUGUUGGGCACCACGGGGCCAAGAUGAGACACAAGUCCCAUUGCUGCUGAGCACAGGGUAGUCAGACUCUGGUGUUGUGCAUGCUUCCCUGCUCCCCUGGCACGAUCAAAGCCCUUCAAAGAACCACAGAAUGGUUGAGAAUGAAGCAGCUCCAGCCCCUGCUACAGCCGGGGUGCCCAGGGCGGGGUUCCCAGGGUGAGGUCCCAGCGGCUUCUGGUCUCCCAGGAGGAGCCCCCGCAGCCUCUCCUGUGCCAGCUCCGCCACCGCCAGGGCACAGAGGCGCUUCCCGGCGGUCAGAGGGCACCUCCCGGGCCCCGCUUCGUGCCCGGUGCCCCUGGGCCCGGCUCUGUCCUCCCCGCGGGGAUUUACGGGCACGGCCAGGAUCCCCGCAGCCUCCAGGCUGAGCAGCCCCAGCUCCCGCAGCCUCUCCUCCCAGAGGAGCUGCUCCGGUCCCCCCACCUUCGUGGCCCUCCCCUGGGCUCUCUGCAGCCUGCCUGGCCUCUCUGGUACUGGGGGCCUGGCAGCAGUCCCAGCACUGUGCGGGCGGCCCCAGCAGUGAGGAGCAGAGGGGCAGGAUCCCCUCCUUCUGCCUGCAGGCAAUCCCUCGCCUGGUUCAGCUCAGGCCACCACCAGCCUUCCUCGCUGUAGGGCCCGCUGCUGGCUCCUGCUCAGUUUGGGGCCCCACAGGACCCCAGGGCCUUUCCUGCAGAACAGCUUCUCAGUCAGGUGCCCCCAGUCUGGGCUGGGCUUGGCACUUCUGCUGCCUGAGCUCCAUUAGCCUCUUACCAACCUAUUUCUCCAGCCUCCAGUAGAAACUGACCC